GAUGGAUGGGGAUGCGUCUGAUUAGCUUGUUGGCGGGGUAACGGCCCACCAAGGCGACGAUCAGUAGGGGUUCUGAGAGGAAGGUCCCCCACAUUGGAACUGAGACACGGUCCAAACUCCUACGGGAGGCAGCAGUGAGGAAUAUUGGUCAAUGGGCGAGAGCCUGAACCAGCCAAGUAGCGUGCAGGAAGACGGCCCUAUGGGUUGUAAACUGCUUUUAUAGGGGAAUAAAGUGAGCCACGUGUGGUUUUUUGCAUGUACCUUAUGAAUAAGGACCGGCUAAUUCCGUGCCAGCAGCCGCGGUAAUACGGAAGGUCCGGGCGUUAUCCGGAUUUAUUGGGUUUAAAGGGAGCGUAGGCCGGAGAUUAAGCGUGUUGUGAAAUGUAGAUGCUCAACAUCUGAACUGCAGCGCGAACUGGUUUCCUUGAGUACGCAUAAAGUGGGCGGAAUUCGUGGUGUAGCGGUGAAAUGCUUAGAUAUCACGAAGAACUCCGAUUGCGAAGGCAGCUCACUGGGGCGCAACUGACGCUGAAGCUCGAAAGCGCGGGUAUCGAACAGGAUUAGAUACCCUGGUAGUCCGCGCGGUAAACGAUGGAUGCCCGCUGUUGGGCCAACUGGUUCAGCGGCCAAGCGAAAGCAUUAAGCAUCCCACCUGGGGAGUAC
RNAcentral lists this ribosomal RNA (663 nucleotides) under uncultured bacterium. Its description in RNAcentral is "bacterial SSU rRNA". It matches the Rfam family "Bacterial small subunit ribosomal RNA", at positions 220 to 883 of the family's 1533-position model. The record is from RNAcentral.